UCGUGUGCCAACAUAAACAAAGUUGGGGCGGCAACACCAAAACAAGGCAUCCAUGAAAGAAGAGGUGACUUCACAACCACCUAGCUGCAGAAUCUCCACUUGAGGUAUAUCUAAACCAUCUCCAACAUAUAAAGCCCCAUAAUCAGAGUUGGUGACGUACAAACCUAGGAGCAGUGAAACUCGGGAUUGGCUCAGAGCUUUCAGAAGUUGGUGCAACGAAGAGAACCACGAAGCACUAG
This 239-nucleotide long non-coding RNA is filed under the name Salvia miltiorrhiza (redroot sage). RNAcentral's name for it is "long non-coding RNA (SMIL_LNC014106)". Lineage: Eukaryota; Viridiplantae; Streptophyta; Magnoliopsida; Lamiales; Lamiaceae. The record is from RNAcentral.